This is an RNA transcript of Homarus americanus (American lobster), 3633 nucleotides long. It is a transcript of the gene named single-stranded DNA-binding protein 3-like, with no coding region annotated. Lineage: Eukaryota; Metazoa; Arthropoda; Malacostraca; Decapoda; Nephropidae. The record is from RefSeq and is a predicted model, not a curated record. The transcript has 19 exons.
UGGCCUCGGACCCCCUCCCCCGCUCCCGAGUCGACUUGGCUACAGUACAGUGUUCAACAUGUACGCUAAGGGGAAGGGCUCGUCCGUGCCCUCCGAUGCGCAAGCCAGGGAGAAAUUGGCGUUAUAUGUGUACGAAUAUUUACUACACGUUGGUGCCCAGAAAGCUGCACAGACCUUCCUUUCUGAGAUAAGAUGGGAGAAAAAUAUAACUUUAGGAGAGCCGCCGGGGUUCCUGCACUCCUGGUGGUGUGUGUUCUGGGACCUGUAUUGUGCGGCACCGGAGAGGCGGGACACGUGUGAACACUCGAGUGAAGCCAAAGCCUUCCACGACUAUGGAUUUGUAAACUCAGGCUAUGGAGUCAACGGUAUAGCUCAUGUAAGUAGCCAGUCCUGCCCCCAACCUGUACUGCCGGGGAAUGCUGGCCCCGCACCAUCACCGUUAGGUCAGAUGCCUCCUAGUGACGGCAUGGGUCCAGGAGGUCCUAUGCCGCCUGGCUUCUUUCCGCCAUUCAUGUCUCCACGAUAUCCAGGCGGGCCUCGGCCGGGAGUUAGGAUGCCACAGAUGCACAACGACUUCAACGGGCCUCCAGGACAACCGAUUAUGCCCAACAGUAUGGACCCCACUCGUCAGGGAGAUGGAGACUUUGUUGGUUGGCAAGGUAGGAACUCGCCUGGCAAGUUCCCUCUCCACCAAUCAGAUCUUGGAUUGAUCCAUCUCCAUCAGUCAGAGCUCAGGAGUCCACCCGGGAUGAACCCCCGAAUGGCAGGUCCACGAGGACCAGCCAUGGGACCAGGACCAGGUAUGGGUCCCAUGGGUCCAGGAGCAUAUGCCCCAGGAAUGAGGGGACCACCACCUAGCAGUAUGGGUCCUGCUGGGCCAGGUGGACCAGGAGGACCAGGACCUGGGGGCCCUGGGCCAGGCAUGCCUCCAAUGACUAUGGGAGGGCCUGGCCCUAGACAACCAUGGACGCCAAACACAUCUACCCCUAUGAGUUACUCCUCGUCCUCACCUGGGACCUACGGUGGCAUGAUGGGUCCACCGGGGUCUGCUGGCCCACCUGGUCCUGGCACACCCAUCAUGCCCAGUCCUCAAGGGUCGAGUGGAGCUUUCUCUCCCGCCCGCCUGCCUCCCACCCCGCGGCCAGACACAUCAAGCAGUGGGGCUGAUGGAAUGUUCCCAAUGAUGAAGCCAGUACCUGGAGGAGGGAUGCCUGGGGACUUCCCUCUGGGUAGUGGCCCUGAUGGGCCCAUGGGUGGCCCUAUGGGCCCCAACACCAUGGGGCCUGUUAUGAAUGGUGAUGGCUUGGAUGGCAUGAAGAACUCACCUGCUAAUGGUCCUGGGACGCCGCGGGACGACGGAGGCGGCAUGGGGGACUACAAUCUGGGAGGCUUCGGGGGCCCACAGGAGAGUGACUUAAACAGCCGUGAAAGCAACUUAGGCAUCAUUUGAAAGCAGGCGUGACAAUGGUUGCGUGAGGACCAAGUUUAGAGUGCGACUUAACUGAAUGUGUCUUACAAGUGUGUGAUACAGAACUAAGGACCAGAAUGAGUCGGCUGCCAUUUUAAAGAUCAAGGAGAGUAUGCAAGAAGAAGCAAAGCGAUUUGAAAAGGACGUUCCACCAGAUCAUCCAGACUACUUUAUGCCGUGACGUGACCCUCUCCCAUCCCCACUUUACCCUGUGAACUAGCUCUCUCAGCUCCCUGCAGAACCUGUGACAUGGCAUUAGUUUGGGAUUGACCUUUCCCUCAUCCCAGAUGCUGAGGACAUGUCAAAGCUCGGUAAUGAGGGCAAUGCGUGAGUGCAGAAAUGUGGUGACUGUGUCUGCACAGUGACAGUUUGCCACACAAUUAUGGUGAUGUGAUUCUGUGUGCGGUGGAGUGACGAUGGGACGACGGGUCCUUACUGACUCUCUCGAGGAACUGGCGUGUCAGCCCUCAACACAAUUCUCAUCAAGUGAAUCAAAACGCAGAACUCCUGUGAUGGAGUGCUAUCCUACUGUGGAAUUUAACAUGUGAUUAGAAACACUAGUGAUUUAUCUUACAAAGUCUGGAAAAGCAGGAUGAGCACUAAGAAAAGGCUUUAUGUAUGACUUCUUGCAUACACCUUAUUAAGAGAAGUGAAAAGAUGGCUCUGAUUUCUGCUGUUUGAUGAUAAGUCUGUUGUGUCAUUCAUUGUGCUUUCUAUGUGAAUCUUGUAGGAAACAAAAUUACUAUCAAUAUUAUUUAAUAUGUUUUCUCAAUUUCACUCAUUUAAGACCCAAGAUCCAUAACCUGAACAGCAGUGUCAGGAGACUAGGGCAGCCAAGGGUAGGAUGGAGAUGUAGAUAUUUUCAUAGACCGUCAUUGCUCAUGGGUGGUGUCCGCACGCCUCAACUGGACAACCAGUGCUGCCUGUCUCCUGGCUGGACCCUUGUAGGAGUGCCCAUGGUUUUCCUCUCUCCAGAGAAAGCCCUCCCCCUCCCCCCCCCCAGUCCCAGGCACCAGCAGUCCCCCAUCACUACCACCAACGUCACCCUGGGACGUGCUCCUGGGAAGGACCGACCCCCCAGGGUAUUGGCCCUGAGCCAGCUGGAACCUACUCACUUAGGGGCCAGCACUCAUGUACAAAUCCCCCAGCCUGGGACCUCUGGGACCUUGGCACGUGAUCUGCCCUCCACAUGUGCAAAAGACAGCAAUGUCUGUUCUCACUAGUAUUACUCAGACUCUGUUCUGGCCUCAGGCCCAACUCAUGUAAUAUCAGAUGGGAAGUCUUUUAUUCAGACUACUUUGUGUUAGCUUACCUACUGGACUGGAAGUGAUGACCUGUCUCUAUUCUGUACAGAUCUAUCCAAGUGUUGUAGAUGUAGGAAUAAUUUAUUAUUUGUCAUGUCCAAAUCUAUCACUUUACCUUUCUUCUAGACUCCCUAUGUUAAACCGUUUUAACCACAAUGGCCACCCCACCCCUCUGUCCAUGACCCAACACCACCAUUAUUACCUCCUUUAUCACCACCACCGCCACUAUCACCUCUACCACCACCUCACCACCACCACCUCACCACCACCUCACCACCACAAUUACCACCAAAACCCUUGGUCCAGCAGUGUGAUUUACUUCACUGCUGCCCAUUCAACCAGAGCCAAAUGUAAAUCACUGAAAAUUAUCGCCCAGGAUGCACCACCACCGCCAGACUCGACCACCACACCUGGGGUGUUUACUCUCCUUAAAACAUUCUUGUAUUUAGAAUCAUCUUGGCUACAUAAUUGUAUCAUCAACUUGUAACAUACUUGAGAGAAUUCACUACCUUAUAUGUGUGAUACAGUGACCUGUUAUUAAUUUAUUGACUCAGCCUUUAAUCUGACUUGAUCACACAACACGUAGAUAGUCACAAGACACUUCACAGCCUAGGUUGACCUUACCUACUCAACAAGAACCUUCAUCAUGGCCUAGGUUAAAUCACCCUUUCAUCAAUAACAAACUGACUCAUGACCCAGUUCAAUUGACUGGGUGUGACCCCGGGUGUACUGUACGUCGCUCUGGUGGUGCGACCGCUCGGCCCGGUUUGUCUGUUCUGACCAAGACCCCCUUGUACAGUAGAACAUAGCAGAUAUAUUAUGUGUAGCAAUUUUCAAUAAAAUGGCUAAGGCAAUAAGACA